UACGAGGGGGGCGAGCGUUGUUCGGAUUCAUUGGGCGUAAAGGGUGCGUAGGCGGCGCGGUAAGUCGGUUGUGAAAUCUCGGAGCUUAACUCCGAAACUGCAUUCGAUACUGCCGUGCUUGAGGACUGGAGAGGAGACUGGAAUUUACGGUGUAGCGGUGAAAUGCGUAGAUAUCGUAAGGAAGACCAGUGGCGAAGGCGGGUCUCUGGACAGUUCCUGACGCUGAGGCACGAAGGUCGGGGGAGCAAACGGG
This 253-nucleotide ribosomal RNA is filed under the name uncultured bacterium. Its description in RNAcentral is "partial 16S ribosomal RNA". It matches the Rfam family "Bacterial small subunit ribosomal RNA", at positions 524 to 776 of the family's 1533-position model. The record is from RNAcentral.